UACAGGGGGUGCAAACGUUGCUCGGAAUUAUUGGGCGUAAAGCGCGCGUAGGCGGCUACCUAAGUCGGAUGUGAAAGCCCCUGGCUCAACUGGGGAAGUGCACCCGAAACUGAGUAGCUAGAGUGCAAAAGAGGGUCGCGGAAUUCCCGGUGUAGAGGUGAAAUUCGUAGAUAUCGGGAGGAACACCGGUGGCGAAGGCGGCGACCUGGGUUGACACUGACGCUGAGGCGCGAAAGCGUGGGGAGCGAACAGG
This 253-nucleotide ribosomal RNA is filed under the name uncultured bacterium. RNAcentral's name for it is "partial 16S ribosomal RNA". It matches the Rfam family "Bacterial small subunit ribosomal RNA", at positions 524 to 776 of the family's 1533-position model. The record is from RNAcentral.